Molecule: RNA transcript, 4248 nt
Organism: Nannospalax galili (Upper Galilee mountains blind mole rat)
Lineage: Eukaryota; Metazoa; Chordata; Mammalia; Rodentia; Spalacidae
Gene: Lgi4
Gene name: leucine rich repeat LGI family member 4
Exons: 11
Source: RefSeq, a predicted model, not a curated record
GAGAGAGAGAGAAAGAGAGAGAGAGGCAGACAGCCACAGGACAGAAUGGCUAACAACAGCAUGGAGGGGUACCCCACAGAAAUGUAGCUGCCUGGGUCCAGUAGGGUGGGGUAGGUGGGAGCCUGGGGUGGGGCAGAGGGCAUGGGAGGGACAGGCAUUCUCUUGCCGCUGUUGCUGCUGCUGCUGGCCUGGGCUGGAGCAGGAGUGGUCUGGAGGCCCCCAAAGGGAAAGUGUCCCCUACGCUGUUCCUGUUCCAAGGACAGUGCCCUGUGUGAGGGCUCCCCGGAGCUGCCUGAGAGCUUCUCUGCCACACUCCUGUCACUCUCCCUUGUCAGGAUGGGGGUCCCUCAGCUGAAGGCCGGCAGCUUCCUGAAGAUACCGUCACUACACCUGCUCCUCUUCACGUCCAACACCUUCUCUGUGAUUGAAGACGAUGCCUUCCUCGGACUGUCCUACUUGCAGUAUCUCUUCAUUGAGGACAAUAAGAUUGGCUCCAUCUCCAAGAACGCUCUGAGAGGCCUCCGCUCCCUCGUGCACCUAAGCCUGGCCAACAACCACCUCGAGGCUCUCCCGAGAUUCCUGUUCCGAGGCCUGGAGACUCUGACUCAUGUGGACCUCCGUGGGAACCCAUUCCAGUGUGACUGCCGAGUGCUUUGGUUGCUUCAGUGGAUGCCUACCGUGAAUGCCAGUGUGGGCACGGGGGACUGUGCCGGCCCCUCUGCCCUUGCCCACAUGCAGCUUGGUGACCUCGACCCCAAGAAGUUCAAAUGCAGAGCCAUAGAGCUGUCCUGGUUCCAGACUGUUGGGGAGCCGGCCCUGAGCGUGGAGCCCUUCUCCUACCAGGGGGAACCCCACGUGGUCCUGGCACAGCCCUUUGCUGGUCGCUGCUUGAUCCUCACCUGGGACUAUAGCCUGCAGCGCUUCCGGCCUGAGGAGGAGCUGUCAGCGCCCUCCGUCGUGUCCUGCAAGCCUCUGGUACUGGGCCAGCGCCUCUUCAUCCUGGCUGCCCGCCUGUGGGGAGGAUCUCAGCUAUGGGCUCGUCCCAGCCCAGACCUGCGUCUGGCCCCGAUGCAGGUCGUGGCCCCUCGAAGGUUGCUGCGGCCCAAUGAUGCUGAGCUCCUGUGGCUGGAAGGACAGCCCUGCUUCGUUGUGGCCGAUGCCUCCAAGGCAGGCACCACCACGCUGCUGUGCCGUGAUGGGCUGGGUUUCUAUCCACGCCAGAGCCUGCAUGCCUGGCACCGUGACACGGACGCAGAGGCCCUGGAGUUGGAUGGCCGCCCUCAUCUGCUGCUGGCCUCCGCCUCCCAGAGGCCGGUGCUCUUCCACUGGUUUGGUGACCGCUUUGAGAGGCGCACAGACAUCCCCGAGGCAGAGGACGUCUAUGCCACGAAGCACUUCCAGGCUGGUGGAGAUGUGUUCCUGUGUCUCACCCGAUACAUCGGGGACUCCAUGGUCAUGCGCUGGGAUGGCUCCAUGUUCCGACUGCUACAGCAACUUCCAUCUCGUGGUGCCCAUGUCUUCCAGCCACUGCUCAUCACCAGGGACCAGCUGGCUAUCCUGGGCAGCGACUUUGCCUUCAGCCAGGUCUUCCGCCUUGAGCCUGACAAGGGGCUCCUGGAGCCGCUGCAGGAGCUAGGGCCCCCGGCCUUGGUAGCGCCCCGAGCCUUUGCGCACGUCACUGUAGCGGGGAGACGCUUCCUAUUUGCAGCGUGCUUCAAGGGCCCCACGCAGAUCUACCAUCAUCAUGAGUUGGAUCUCAGUGCCUGAGGCUGGGCGGGACCUUGGCUGUGGGAAUGGUUGGGGGCAACAUGGGAUAUCUGGGUGCCCUCAUAGGCCUGGUCUCCUGGCCACUCUUGGGGUCAUGGCCAGUCCCGUGAGAUGCAGACCACCAGCCAAGUGCGUCAGCCUGGAUCAGGGAAAACCACUUCUGUAAGGAUCUGCACCCAUUAGGGGCAAAUGAGCCUGGAAUGUCUGCUGCCUGUUAAUCUGACGCCAUAUGUUGGCUGGGGACAGAUGCUCGCAAAGACAACGGCUUGGGAGCUCAGCCUGGACAUAACAUGGAUCUGGGACCCAGAAGUCAAGUGGAGAAUCUGCAGAGCUCCACGAGGUCUGGAAGCCCCGCCCUCAACGUCCCCUUAGUCCUGCAGAGAGUGCGUUCCUUUCCCCUCGAACGCGACCCCACCAAUGGAGGAGUAAGUGUCCCCAUGACGUCACAGUUGCUAGGCAGUUUUUGCAGGACCUGAGCCCCUCUCUCUGCUACUUGUGCGCAUGUCUACUUCCAAAGGCCGAUUCCUGUCGGGCCCCGGCUCCUGUGCGUAUGCAGGAAGAUAGGGGAAAGUAAAGAUAGAGGUGUUUCGGAAAGCCCCGGGUCCCGGAUUCCCGUACUGUGACAGGGACCAGGACAGGAUGGUGGAGAAACUGAGGCACGAGGCACUCCAGUCACUUGCUACAUCACUGCUAGACUUCCAGAUCCAUCUGGGAAGACAGUCUAGGGAGGUGGCCAUCUGCCCAGGGGCCGAGCCUUGGUCAGGCAGAAAGCAGUUGGAGAAUCCUGUUCGCAGGCCACAUGACCAAUUCAGGAAGGGGCCAAUCAAAACUACUGGGACACUGUAAACUGAUGUUCAGGCCUCCAUGGGAUUCUUUCUGCUGAGCAGAAGCUGAGUGGCUGCCGGUUAUGUUCAGGAGGAAUCUCGUCUGCAGGAGGAGCCAACAGGGUGGGAAGCAACUCAGAGCCGCCACCACAGAGCUGAUGACCUGGCUGGAGCACUUGAAAGAGUCAGGACUGAAACCACCCAUGGGUGACGGAAGUCAACUCAGUGAGCUGAGGUGCUUUUCUGGAAGUAACAUGUGGAUGUCUGGCAUGCGGAGUGGUGGGGAGGCCAGUAAGUGUGGGGAGAAACAGGACAAAUGCCAUUUGCCACAAGCCACUAGGUGUCCCGAGGCCUGCACGAAUAGGCUGUGUCCCUGACACUGCUGGGUGAGGCUCCCUUCUAUCCCCCACAGGAUCUGUGUCACCUGUCCUCAGGGCAUAGAGGUCACAGACUCAGUUCUCCGAGUAUACUUGGUCCCCAGCUGGCUCAUGACAGGUCUGGAAGAGCCUGUCAUAUGUAACCAGCAUUCUACAGCAGGCUGGCUGACUGGUACCUGUCCUCCCUGUUGUGAGCACAGAGGACUGGACCAUGAGAGAGACCAGCUUGGGAAGCUUGGGACUUUGUAGUUAUGUGUGACAGAGGCAGCCAGUGAGGACACAGAGGGGCUCCCCUGAAUCCCUCUACCCAGGCCACAUAGGCCACCAGCAUAGGUUUUCAGGUAUCAUGACAGAUACAUGGUGACACCAGUCACAGGAGACUAAAAAGCCAGCAUCAGUCCACAACACUGCCCCCCAAGACUCCGAAGUGGACACACACUAAGGCCAGUGGUAAACUGGCCUGGCUCCUGUUCACCCGAAAAUACACAUGGGCCCAUGUCCUCAUCAGGGCCUGAGACUCCCUUAGAACCUUUGGAAUGUGACAUAUGCUGUCCUUGGAUUUCAGGGUCUGCUCCCAGCCCCUGCUUGAACUGACUUGUAUCUUCCCAGGAGUCUUUACCCUUACCUCGGGGAUUGUCAAUCACACUGGCUGUGGGGUGGAGGUUCACACAGUCCACCCACCCUGUAAAGACCAGCCCAGUAGACAUGAUGUGCACGCAGCUGCCACCACCCCUUGGGUUGUGAAGACUAAAUCUUCAAAGGUGAGUCCCUGGGGUCCCUGGACACCAGCUGUGCUUCUCAAGACUCCAUGGUUCCAGACCCCAGAAGGCUCCCACAAGCCCUCAUUGCACAGAGAGAGAGAGAGAGAGAGAGAGAGAGACUCAUUAUCAGCACCAAGCAUACAAUACUCAGGGCAGAACUGUGACCUCUCAGAGCCCCAGAGUUUCUUCAGAAACCUCCCUCCCCUAGGACAGGGCUGUAUCUCCUUUGAUCCUAGGGUAAAACAUAGUUUUUGUGCGGUUCACAACCUAUGCAACUGUGUGCAACAAUCUUGGCACCAUUGCACCAUCCUCCGCAUUAUUAUUAUUAUUAUUAUUAUUAUUACUACUGCAGCAAGGUUCCCGACUGAACCUGCCACUCACCUAUCUGACUAGGUUGGCUGGCAGGUGAGUUCCGGGGGGGUCCCGUCUCCAUCUCCCCAGCACAGACGCAUACCACACUGUAACCAGCCUUUUGUGUGUGUUCUGGGAAUCCAACUCAGACCCUCAUACUUGCAUGGC